This 468-nucleotide ribosomal RNA is filed under the name uncultured bacterium. Its description in RNAcentral is "partial 16S ribosomal RNA". It matches the Rfam family "Bacterial small subunit ribosomal RNA", at positions 28 to 507 of the family's 1533-position model. The record is from RNAcentral.
GACGAACGCUGGCGGCGUGCUUAACACAUGCAAGUCGAACGGAAAGGCCCUGCUUUUGUGGGGUGCUCGAGUGGCGAACGGGUGAGUAACACGUGAGUAACCUGCCCUUGACUUUGGGGUAACUUCAGGAAACUGGGGCUAAUACCGGAUAGGAGCUCCUGCUGCAUGGGGGGGGUUGGAAAGUUUCGGCGGUUGGGGAUGGACUCGCGGCUUAUCAGCUUGUUGGUGGGGUAGUGGCUUACCAAGGCUUUGACGGGUAGCCGGCCUGAGAGGGUGACCGGCGACAUUGGGACUGAGGUACGGCGCAGACUCCUACGGGAGGCAGCAGUGGGGAAUAUUGCACAGUGGGCGGAAGCCUGAUGCGGCAACGCCGCGUGCGGGAUGACGGCCUUCGGGUCGUAAACCGCUUUCGCCUGUGACGAAGCGUGAGUGACGGUAAUGGGUAAAGAAGCACCGGCUAACUACGUG